This is a long non-coding RNA of Arachis duranensis, 1083 nucleotides long. RefSeq lists it as uncharacterized. The transcript has 3 exons. Lineage: Eukaryota; Viridiplantae; Streptophyta; Magnoliopsida; Fabales; Fabaceae. The record is from RefSeq and is a predicted model, not a curated record.
CCACACACAAAACAAAUAAACAAGCGCAUACACAGACAUAUACACGGAGAGAAGAGAAGAGAGAGUGCUGCGAGCCAGGGACGACGCGAGGAAGGAGAGGAGCCAUCGUGCUCGGCCGCUGCUAGCUCCAUCGCAUCCUACGCCGCGCCAUCGCCCCCAGACCGCGUCCGUUCCGUUCAGCCACCGCCGCUGCCGUCGUGUGGGUGAGAGAGAGAAGCUGAGAAAGACUCAGCCGCGAGAACCAGAGGCGCGUGAGAGAGGGAAGACACGAUCGACGAAGGGAAGGGAAAAGGGUUUCACCACCGCGGUGUCCGGCCACCACUGCUGCCUCCGACUGGAGCCCUAGUCACCGGAGCCCCUAUCGUCGCCGUUGCAUGUGAGAGGAGGAGAUGACAUUGCUGAUUUGGAUUCUGCCCAUGUCCCUCAUCGUCACUGGAAUCACGAACCAGAGGCGGAAGGAGGCAUUCCUCCAUCGCCCGCCAGCCACCAAGCUAUGACUAAAUUGGAGACAUUGUUUCUCUUACCUUCCGUUUUGAGUCAUUAUUGUCAUUAUUCGGCGUUGCCACCCUUGUCUAGAGCUAUUGAAUGUUUCUGCUGCGAGAAUAAUACUAGAAUCGCUGCUGCUGCCACGAAUUGGGGAUAAAGGGGAUACCUGCGUCAAAACCUGCUAUUGCGACAUUGAGUGACACAGGUUCCAGGACCGAGUGUGAAGCUGCGAGCGAUUAUGAGUUUCUUUUGAAUUCUUUUGUAUAAUAUUUAUCAUUAUUAGUAAUUAAGUGAUUAUUAUUACCUGUGUGUUUUUUAUGAAUGAUUUUGAUUAAUGAGAAACAAUAUUUUCCUGCAUUUUCUUAAAAAUUGAAACGCGGUAUCGAAUUAAAGGCUCAAUAUUAAAUAGUAAGUAUGAAAAACAGGUCAGUAACGCCUUGCUUUUGGUACGAUCAUGACGUGCUAAAAGUUAGGGUGUUACACAUAUUCAUGCUAUUUAUUGUUUGAGAAAAUGACAAUUUUUUUCUUCUGUCUAAAUAAAACUAUUUUCUCUUUUAUUUAUAAAAUAUAUGUUUACUUUUUUUUUUACACCAAAAA